RNAcentral lists this ribosomal RNA (459 nucleotides) under uncultured bacterium. Its description in RNAcentral is "partial 16S ribosomal RNA". It matches the Rfam family "Bacterial small subunit ribosomal RNA", at positions 338 to 795 of the family's 1533-position model. The record is from RNAcentral.
CCUACGGGUGGCAGCAGUGAGGAAUAUUGGUCAAUGGCCGGAAGGCUGAACCAGCCAAGUCGCGUGAGGGACGACUGCACUAUGGGUUGUAAACCUCUUUUAUAAGGGAAGAAUAAAUGCUACGUGUAGCAUGAUGACUGUACCUUAUGAAUAAGCAUCGGCUAACUCCGCGCCAGCAGCCGCGGUAAUACGGAGGAUGCGAGCGUUAUCCGGAUUUAUUGGGUUUAAAGGGUGCGUAGGCGGCUUUUUAAGUUAGCGGUUAAACGUCGGGGCUGAACCCUGGUGUGCCGUUGAAACUGUCGGGAGGGAGUUGGAGAGAAGUACGCGGAAUGAGCGGUGUAGCGGUGAAAUGCUUAGAUAUAGCGCAGAACUCCGAUAGCGAAGGCAGCGUACCGGCUCCACACUGACGCUGAGGCACGAAAGCGUGGGUAUCGAACAGGAUUAGAUACCCGUGUAGUC